This 774-nucleotide ribosomal RNA is filed under the name uncultured Neocallimastigales. RNAcentral describes it as "partial large subunit ribosomal RNA". It matches the Rfam family "Eukaryotic large subunit ribosomal RNA", at positions 26 to 611 of the family's 3401-position model. The record is from RNAcentral. Lineage: Eukaryota; Fungi; Neocallimastigomycota; Neocallimastigomycetes; Neocallimastigales.
CGCAUCUGUGCAUGCAGCAUAUCAAUAAGCGGAGGAAAAGAAACUAACAAGGAUUCCCCUAGUAACGGCGAGUGAAGCGGGAAGAGCUCAAAUUUGAAAUCUUAAAGGGUUUCCCUUUACGAAUUGUAGUUUAAAGAAGUGUUUUCUGUUGAGGUUUUGGUAAAAGUUCUUUGGAAUAGGACAUCAUAGAGGGUGAGAAUCCCGUAUUUGACCUUUACUUUCAACUUUGUGAUACACUUUCAAAGAGUCGGAUUGUUUGGGAAUGCAGUCCAAAAUGGGUGGUAAAUUUCAUCUAAAGCUAAAUAUCGGCGAGAGACCGAUAGCGAACAAGUACCGUGAGGGAAAGAUGAAAAGAACUUUGAAAAGAGAGUUAAACAGUACGUGAAAUUGUCAAAAGGGAAGCGUUUGACACCAGUGUUGUUUUUCUGAAAAUCAAUUAAAGAACUGUUUAUGCUAAGUUGUUUAGACUUUAUCAGCUAACUGUUUAGUUUUGAGCUUUUCUUUAAUGCACUUUUCAGUUAACAAGUCAACAUCAAUUUCUUUUGCUGUAAAAAAGCUUGAGGAAGGUGGCUUGAGAUUCGUCUUAAGUGUUUAUAGCCUCUUGCCUAUGCAGUCGGAGAGAUUGAGGUCUGCAGCGUAGAUCCUUCGGGGCUAAAUGCAUUUGUGCUAAGUUAUAGCAUUUUAUAGACAACUUGUUGACUAUGAUUUGUCUUGUAGCUUACUCGCUUAUGUUAUUUUACCUACGCUUAGGAUGUUGAACGCGCACAGAGUCUC